UUUAAAUUUAGAGUUUGAUCCUGGCUCAGGACGAACGCUGGCGGCGUGCUUAACACAUGCAAGUCGAGCGAUGAAACUUCCUUCGGAAAGUGGAUUAGCGGCGGACGGGUGAGUAACACGUGGGUAACCUGCCUCAAAGUGGGGGAUAGCCUUCCGAAAGGAAGAUUAAUACCGCAUAAUAUAAGAGAAUCGCAUGAUUUUCUUAUCAAAGAUUUAUUGCUUUGAGAUGGACCCGCGGCGCAUUAGCUAGUUGGUAAGGUAACGGCUUACCAAGGCAACGAUGCGUAGCCGACCUGAGAGGGUGAUCGGCCACAUUGGAACUGAGACACGGUCCAGACUCCUACGGGAGGCAGCAGUGGGGAAUAUUGCGCAAUGGGGGAAACCCUGACGCAGCAACGCCGCGUGGGUGAUGAAGGUCUUCGGAUUGUAAAGCCCUGUUUUCUGGGACGAUAAUGACGGUACCAGAGGAGGAAGCCACGGCUAACUACGUGCCAGCAGCCGCGGUAAUACGUAGGUGGCGAGCGUUGUCCGGAUUUACUGGGCGUAAAGGGUGCGUAGGCGGAUGUUUAAGUGGGAUGUGAAAUCCCCGG
RNAcentral lists this ribosomal RNA (590 nucleotides) under Clostridium botulinum. RNAcentral describes it as "bacterial SSU rRNA". It matches the Rfam family "Bacterial small subunit ribosomal RNA", at positions 1 to 606 of the family's 1533-position model. The record is from RNAcentral. Lineage: Bacteria; Bacillati; Bacillota; Clostridia; Eubacteriales; Clostridiaceae.